RNAcentral lists this ribosomal RNA (428 nucleotides) under uncultured prokaryote. Its description in RNAcentral is "bacterial SSU rRNA". It matches the Rfam family "Bacterial small subunit ribosomal RNA", at positions 355 to 774 of the family's 1533-position model. The record is from RNAcentral.
UGGGGAAUUUUUCGCAAUGGGCGAAAGCCUGACGAAGCAACGCCGCGUGGAGGAUGAAGGCCUUCGGGUUGUAAACUCCUGUCGACCGGGACGAAAGCGGCCUGGGUCAAUACCCCGGGUCGUUGACUGUACCGGUGGAGGAAGCCACGGCUAACUCUGUGCCAGCAGCCGCGGUAAUACAGAGGUGGCAAGCGUUGUUCGGAAUUACUGGGCGUAAAGGGCGCGUAGGCGGUCUUGUAAGUCCUGUGUGAAAUCCCCCGGCUCAACUGGGGAACUGCACAGGAAACUGCGAGGCUUGAGUUCGGGAGAGGGAAGCGGAAUUCCGGGUGUAGCGGUGAAAUGCGUAGAUAUCCGGAGGAACACCGGUGGCGAAGGCGGCUUCCUGGACCGACACUGACGCUGAGGCGCGAAAGCUAGGGGAGCAAACG